GAGGUGUAGAGGGAUGGGGAAAUCUUUUUUAUCAGUAUGCUGAGUUUGAUAUGCCUACAAAAUUAUUAUGGUAGUUUGAGGUCCCUGUGAAACAUCCAAAUGGUAAUGUCCCAUGUUUGAAGCUUAGGAGAGAAAGGUGUGACGGAUUAGCACAAUGGGAGUGGCUACAAAAUCAUGCUAAGAAGGAGAAAAGAAGGAAAGGAAAGAAUUCAAAAAGCAAAAGCAUUUAACAUGUAGGCAGAGAGUAAGAAAUGGGCUGAGAAACAACAGCCAGAAAGAUAGACAAUUAGGUGACUGUUGCUACUCAGAAAUCUACCUGCAGCUGUGUUUUCCUUCUCAUUUCAAACCACUUGCUAGACAUUCUCUAAUUGGAUAUUGCUCUAAUAUCUCAAAUUCAGUUUUACACACACACAAAAAAGUUUUUACUUCUGACUUCCAUGUUUGUAUCAAUGUGAUGAAAGAAUGCUUUCUUCACAGAUAAAUCUGAAGGCCCUGACUCUUCACCAACAGCGCCUAUGCUUUGAGUUACUCUGUCCAGAUAAUAUUAAGAGAUGAUUCUAAUAACCUAAUCACCUGAAGCAUAUUUUCACCUGCGUGUAUGUGUGAGGCAAAGUAUUCUGGGAAACAUAACUCAGAUAAGCUGCAAACCUGUUGGAAGCAGUGAAGGGGCCGUGGGGACGAGGUGAGAAGCCUUUACAGAGACAGUCACCUGAAAUCCUGCUCCAGACCCCCGGCUCCCCGCGUCCCGUCUCUCCUCUCCGCGCCUCCUGCGCUCUGGCUCCGGCGCGUAGUCACCUAGCGCGAGACCUCCCGGCGGCCCGGGGGCCGGGCCGGCUGAACUCCGCAAGGCCUGGCUGCAG
Molecule: long non-coding RNA, 860 nt
Filed under: Equus asinus (donkey)
Lineage: Eukaryota; Metazoa; Chordata; Mammalia; Perissodactyla; Equidae
Description: lncRNA (ENSEASG00005029420.1)
Source: RNAcentral